RNAcentral lists this ribosomal RNA (192 nucleotides) under uncultured bacterium. Its description in RNAcentral is "partial 16S ribosomal RNA". It matches the Rfam family "Bacterial small subunit ribosomal RNA", at positions 1307 to 1500 of the family's 1533-position model. The record is from RNAcentral.
GCAACCGCCUGCAUGAAGUCGGAAUUGCUAGUAAUCGCGGAUCAGCAUGCCGCGGUGAAUACGUUCCCGGGCCUUGUACACACCGCCCGUCACACCAUGGGAGCCGGUAAUACCCGAAGUCAGUAGUCCAACCUCGUGAGGACGCUGCCGAAGGUAGGAUUGGCGACUGGGGUGAAGUCGUAACAAGGUAUC